Molecule: ribosomal RNA, 1036 nt
Filed under: Cylindrotrichum setosum
Lineage: Eukaryota; Fungi; Ascomycota; Sordariomycetes; Glomerellales; Reticulascaceae
Description: SSU rRNA
Rfam family: Eukaryotic small subunit ribosomal RNA
Source: RNAcentral
GUAUAAGCAAUUAUACCGCGAAACUGCGAAUGGCUCAUUAUAUAAGUUAUCGUUUAUUUGAUAGUACCUUACUACUUGGAUAACCGUGGUAAUUCUAGAGCUAAUACAUGCUAAAAAUCCCGACUUCGGAAGGGAUGUAUUUAUUAGAUUAAAAACCAAUGCCCUUCGGGGCUCACUGGUGAUUCAUAAUAACUUCUCGAAUCGCAUGGCCUUGCGCCGGCGAUGGUUCAUUCAAAUUUCUUCCCUAUCAACUUUCGAUGCUAGAGUAGUGUUCUAGCAUGGUUACAACGGGUAACGGAGGGUUAGGGCUCGACCCCGGAGAGGGAGCCUGAGAAACGGCUACCACAUCCAAGGAAGGCAGCAGGCGCGCAAAUUACCCAAUCCCGACUCGGGGAGGUAGUGACGAUAAAUACUGAUACAGGGCUCUUUUGGGUCUUGUAAUUGGAAUGAGUACAAUUUAAAUCCCUUAACGAGGAACAAUUGGAGGGCAAGUCUGGUGCCAGCAGCCGCGGUAAUUCCAGCUCCAAUAGCGUAUAUUAAAGUUGUUGUGGUUAAAAAGCUCGUAGUAGAACCUUGGGCCUGGCUGGCCGGUCCGCCUCACCGCGUGUACUGGUCCGGCCGGGCCUUUCCCUCUGUGGAACCGCAUGUCCUUCACUGGAUGUGUCGGGGAAACAGGACUUUUACUUUGAAAAAAUUAGAGUGCUCCAGGCAGGCCUAUGCUCGAAUACAUUAGCAUGGAAUAAUAAAAUAGGACGUGUGGUUCUAUUUUGUUGGUUUCUAGGACCGCCGUAAUGAUUAAUAGGGACAGUCGGGGGCAUCAGUAUUCAAUUGUCAGAGGUGAAAUUCUUGGAUUUAUUGAAGACUAACUACUGCGAAAGCAUUUGCCAAGGAUGUUUUCAUUUAUCAGGAACGAAAGUUAGGGGAUCGAAGACGAUCAGAUACCGUCGUAGUCUUAACCAUAAACUAUGCCGACUAGGGAUCGGACGAUGUUAUUUUUUGACUCGUUCGGCACCUUACGAGAAAUCAAAGUGCUUGG